RNAcentral lists this long non-coding RNA (1143 nucleotides) under Ricinus communis (castor bean). RNAcentral's name for it is "long non-coding RNA (RCOM_LNC003448)". Lineage: Eukaryota; Viridiplantae; Streptophyta; Magnoliopsida; Malpighiales; Euphorbiaceae. The record is from RNAcentral.
UCAUGUUCAUGGUUAAAGCAAUUAGGGAACAAAAUAAGGAAAAACAAAUUAAAGGCAUGUACACCCUUCUCUUUCAAGCUGAAUGAGAAACCCUAAAAUUGCAAAAUUUGAAAUCUCAAACCCUAGUUGCCUCUUGAAUGCUCCCAAAGUUUGUCUUGAUCUUCAAUUCGAUGUUGGAACAAGUGAAAUCCCCCCUUCAAUUGAUGAAUUUUUAUCUCUCAAGGUCUACAAUUGAGGUAUAGGAAAUAAUUGAUUAAGUGUGUGUCUUGGAAUUGAGUCCAAAAAUCGUCCCCCUUCAAAAAGAAUUCAAAAUCGCCUAUAUAGUUGAUUCAGCAUGGCCGGAGUCCAGGCUGUAAUGAUUCAGCACGUCCGGAGUCCAAGCUGUGAUGAUUCAGCACGGCCGGAGUCCAGGCUGUGAUGAUUCAGCACAGCCGGAGUCUAGGCUGUUAUGAUUCAGCACGACCGGAGUCUAGGCUGUGCUGAAUCUGUGGAGUCUGUUGUGCUGACUCCUUCCAGGCCGUGCCCAAGCCUGUGCUGAUCCAUCACAGGCCGUGCUGGAGGCCGUGGUGGCUACGGAAGUCGUGCUGAAAUGGCACAAUUGGGGAUAGCCUCUUGGUAAUUCAGCACGGCCGGAGUCCAGGCCGUGCUCAACCCUCUGGGUGCUACUCCUAGCCCAAUCUGAUUGAUUUUGGUCCGUAAUCACACGUAUGUCCCUCGAUUACUGAUGAUGUCCUUCGAAAAUGACCUGAAAUGAGAAAGGAAACAAAAGACAGGUGAUUCUAGCAUAAAACAGGAUAAUCAUGCAUAAAAAAUGUAAACAAUCGGGCAUGAAAACAUGUGUAUUAUGAUGCUUUUCAAAUUACCCCAUACUUAAACUUUUGCUUGUCCUCAAGAAAUUUACAACUCACUCCUCAAACAUAUACCAAAUAACUCAAUCAAAUGCAUUGCAGGAGGUUAGCUCAAAACAAAUUUCAAAACUCCGUAAUGAUUUUUCCCAAAAUCCCCAAAUCACUAAAUCCUUAAGAGAGAGAACAAACUUAAUAAAGUUGCUAAAGUUAAAAUGAUAAACCAUCUAAAUUGAGAAAUUGAGAACCAUGCCUCACAAGAUGUCACUCAAAACACACAAGUGUAUAUAGGUGAAAG